This 497-nucleotide ribosomal RNA is filed under the name uncultured bacterium. Its description in RNAcentral is "partial 16S ribosomal RNA". It matches the Rfam family "Bacterial small subunit ribosomal RNA", at positions 28 to 507 of the family's 1533-position model. The record is from RNAcentral.
GAUGAACGCUGGCGGCGUGCCUAAUACAUGCAAGUCGAGCGAACAGACGAGGAGCUUGCUCCUCUGACGUCAGCGGCGGACGGGUGAGUAACACGUGGAUAACCUACCUAUAAGACUGGGAUAACUUCGGGAAACCGGAGCUAAUACCGGAUAAUAUAUUGAACCGCAUGGUUCAAUAGUGAAAGACGGUUUUGCUGUCACUUAUAGAUGGAUCCGCGCCGCAUUAGCUAGUUGGUAAGGUAACGGCUUACCAAGGCGACGAUGCGUAGCCGACCUGAGAGGGUGAUCAGCCACACUGGAACUGAGACACGGUCCAGACUCCUACGGGAGGCAGCAGUAGGGAAUCUUCCGCAAUGGGCGAAAGCCUGACGGAGCAACGCCGCGUGAGUGAUGAAGGUCUUCGGAUCGUAAAACUCUGUUAUUAGGGAAGAAAAAAUGUGUAAGUAACUAUGCACGUCUUGACGGUACCUAAUCAGAAAGCCACGGCUAACUACGUG